RNAcentral lists this ribosomal RNA (465 nucleotides) under uncultured bacterium. Its description in RNAcentral is "partial 16S ribosomal RNA". It matches the Rfam family "Bacterial small subunit ribosomal RNA", at positions 28 to 507 of the family's 1533-position model. The record is from RNAcentral.
GACGAACGCUGGCGGCGUGCUUAACACAUGCAAGUCGAACGGAAAGGCCCCUUUGGGGGUACUCGAGUGGCGAACGGGUGAGUAACACGUGAGUAACCUGCCCUUGACUUCGGGAUAACUUCAGGAAACUGGGGCUAAUACCGGAUAGGAAUCCUUGCUGCAUGGUGGGGGUUGGAAAGCGUCGGCGGUUUUGGAUGGACUCGCGGCUUAUCAGCUUGUUGGUGGGGUAGUGGCUUACCAAGGCCUUGACGGGUAGCCGGCCUGGGAGGGCGACCGGCCACAUUGGGACUGGGAUACGGCCCAGACUCCUACGGGAGGCAGCAGUGGGGAAUAUUGCACAAUGGGCGGAAGCCUGAUGCAGCAACGCCGCGUGCGGGAUGACGGCCUUCGGGUUGUAAACCGCUUUCAGCAGGGGCGAAGCUUGUGGUGACGGUACCUGCAGAAGAAGCACCGGCUAACUACGUG